CUCAGGACGAACGCUGGCGGCGUGCUUAACACAUGCAAGUCGAACGAUGAAGCUGGAGCUUGCUCCGGUGGAUUAGUGGCGAACGGGUGAGUAACACGUGAGCAAUCUGCCCUUGACUCUGGGAUAACUGCGGGAAACUGUAGCUAAUACCGGAUACGACCCUUGGAGGCAUCUCUGGGGGUGGAAAGAAUUUCGGUCAAGGAUGAGCUCGCGGCCUAUCAGCUAGUUGGUGAGGUAAUGGCUCACCAAGGCGACGACGGGUAGCCGGCCUGAGAGGGUGACCGGCCACACUGGGACUGAGACACGGCCCAGACUCCUACGGGAGGCAGCAGUGGGGAAUAUUGGGCAAUGGAGGAAACUCUGACCCAGCGACGCCGCGUGAGGGAUGAAGGCCUUCGGGUUGUAAACCUCUUUCAGUAGGGAAGAAGCGAAAGUGACGGUACCUACAGAAGAAGCACCGGCUAACUAUGUG
RNAcentral lists this ribosomal RNA (472 nucleotides) under uncultured bacterium. Its description in RNAcentral is "bacterial SSU rRNA". It matches the Rfam family "Bacterial small subunit ribosomal RNA", at positions 23 to 507 of the family's 1533-position model. The record is from RNAcentral.